Molecule: ribosomal RNA, 468 nt
Filed under: uncultured bacterium
Lineage: Bacteria
Description: partial 16S ribosomal RNA
Rfam family: Bacterial small subunit ribosomal RNA
Source: RNAcentral
GACGAACGCUGGCGGCGUGCUUAACACAUGCAAGUCGAACGGAAAGGCCCUGCUUUUGUGUGGUUCUCGAUUGGCGAACGGGUGAGUAACACGUGAGUAACCUGCCCUUGACUUUGUGAUAACUUCAGGAAACUGGGGCUAAUACCGGAGAGGAUCUCCUGCUGCAUGGUGUGGGUUGGAAAGUGUCGGCGGUUGGGGAUGGACUCGCGGCUUAUCAGCUUGUUGGUGGGGUAGUGGUUUACCAAGGCUUUGACGGGUAGCCGGCCUGAGAGGGUGACCGGCCACAUUGGGACUGAGAUACGGCCCAGACUGCUACGGGAGGCAGCAGUGGGGAAUAUUGCACAAUGGGCGGAAGCCUGAUGCAGCAACGCCGCGUGCGGGAUGCCGGCCUUCGGGUUGUAAACCGCUUUCGCAUGUGCCGAAGAGUGAGUGACGGUAAUGGGUAAAGAAGCACCGGCUAACUACGUG